CUAGUAGGAGCACUUCAAUAUCUCACUCUGACAAGACCUGAUAUUUCCUUUGCUGUUAACAAAGUAUGUCAGUUUCUUCAUGCUCCUACCACAGUUCAUUGGACUGCUGCAAAGCGUAUUGUUAGAUAUGUAAAGCAUACUAUGAAUCUUGGUCUCACCUUCAGCAAGUCCUCAUCUACACUUGUCAGUGCUUUCUCUGACUCUGAUUGGGCAGGAUGCCUAGAUGACAGACGUUCUACUGGUGGGUUUGCAGUGUUCUUUGGACCUAACCUCAUAUCAUGGUGUGCAAGAAAACAAGCAACCGUAUCAAGGUCAAGUACAGAGGCUGAGUAUAAGGCAUUGGCAAAUGCCACAGCAGAAAUCAUUUGGGUUCAAUCCAUGCUGAAAGAGCUUGGUGUGAAGCACAUUCAAGCUCCAUGUUUGUGGUGUGACAAUCUUGGUGCCACCUAUCUGUCUGCUAAUCCUGUCUUUCAUGCAAGGACAAAACACAUUGAAAUAGAUUUUCAUUUUGUGGGAGAACGU
Molecule: ribosomal RNA, 522 nt
Filed under: Triticum aestivum (bread wheat)
Lineage: Eukaryota; Viridiplantae; Streptophyta; Magnoliopsida; Poales; Poaceae
Description: partial small subunit ribosomal RNA
Source: RNAcentral